This 446-nucleotide unclassified non-coding RNA is filed under the name Melitaea cinxia (Glanville fritillary). RNAcentral describes it as "misc RNA ENSMCXG00005006305.1". Lineage: Eukaryota; Metazoa; Arthropoda; Insecta; Lepidoptera; Nymphalidae. The record is from RNAcentral.
UUGUUAGCAAGGGCGAAAAUAUCUCUAAAAGAGAUCACUUCCAAUCAACCAAAGAUGAUGGAUUCCAAUAUUCAUGGAACGUACUUGUAAUGUUUUAAUUUGUAUUAAAAGAUAAUACAGUAUUAAAAGUUUAAUAUUUUGAUAAAUUAGUUGUAUUUUAUAUUUUAGAAACUUCAAAUGUUGUAUUGUAUUGUAUGUUGAUAAGUUAUAAAAGUUUGUUUAUACUGAAAUUAUUACACUCUAAGCUUGUUCACAGUUUUUUUUUUAUAAUUUUAUAAAUAUAAUCCGUAUUAAAAAAAGAACUUAAAUAUUUGUAAUUACAUCGACAACACUGAAUAACUACGAAGUGAUCAAAAAGUAAUACAGUUACAAUUAAAUAAUUUCGCCAUAUCUCUAACUCUUUUUCGUCAACAUAACACAGCUGCUUAAAAUUCUCGGCGACUUUG